AUACUAUACUGAUUUUAGAACGUUAAAAUGAAAAUUAAGGGUUUCCUUAUGGAAGUCUAAGUUCAAUAGGAAAGGAUUUUUACUUAAACUAAUGAUGAUUAAUUCAUAGUAUUAGUGUAAUUUAAGAUAAAUUAGGGCACAAAUAUUGAUUGAAAAAGAUUUAGGGGGUGUCCUAAGUGAUCAAGUAUACUGAUUUUAUAACGUUAAAAUGAAAAUUAUGGGUUUCCUCAUGGGAGUCUAAAUAUAACAGAGAAGGAUUUAACUUACACUAAUGGUGAUUAUUUCUUAGUUUAAGUGUAAUUUAGGAUAAAUUAGGGUACAAAUAUUGAUUGAAAAAGAAUUAAGGGUUUCCUUAGUGAUUAAGUAUACUGAUUUUAUAACAUUAAAAUGAAAAGUAUGAGUUCAACAGGAAUGGAUUUUGACUUAAACCAAUGGUUAUUUUUUCUUAGUGUUUAUGUAAUAAAGUAUAAAUUAGGGAAUAAAUAUUGACUGAAAAAUAUUAAUGGGGGUUUCCGAAGUGAAUAAGUAUACUGAUUUUAGAACGUUGAAUGAAAAUUAUGGGUUUCCUCAUGGGAGUCUAAAUUUAACAGGAAAGGAUUUUACCUAAACUAGUGGUGAUAAUUCUUUAGUAUUAGUGUAAUUAAAGAUAAAUUAGGGUACAAAUAUUGAUUGAAAAAGAUUUAAGGGGUUUCCUAUGUGAUUAAGUAUACUGAGUUUAGAACGUUAAAAUGAAAAGUGUGGGUUUCUUCAUGGGGGUCUAAGUUCAACAGGAAAGGAUUUUUACUUACACUAAUGGUUAUUUUUUCUUAGUAUUUGUGUAAUUUAGGAUUAAUUAGGGUACAAAUAUUGAUUGAAAAUGAUUUAAGGGGUUUCCUAAGUGAUUUAGUUUACUGAUUUUAUAAUGUUAAAAUGAAAAGAAUGAUUUUCCUCAUGGGUGUGUAAGUUCAAUAGGAAAGGAUUUUUACUUAAACUAAUGGUAAUUAUUACAUAGUAUUUGUGUAAGUUAGGAUAAAUAAGGGUACAAAUAUUGAUUUAAAUAAAUUUAGGGAGUUUCCUUAGUGAUCAAGUAUACUGAAUUUGUAGCGUUAAAAUUAAAAGUAUAAAUUUAGUCAUGGGGUUCUAAGUUCAACAUGAAAGGAUUUUUACUUAAACUAAUGGUGAAUAUUUCUUAGUGUUAAUGUAAUUUAAGACAAAUCAGGGUAGAAGUAAAGAUCCAAGAAUAUUUAUGAGGUUUUUGGAGUGAAUAAGUAAACUGAAUUUUUAACGUUGAAAUGAAAAGCAUGGGUGUCCUCAUGGAGGUCUAUUUAGUUCAAUAGGAAAGGAUUUUUAUUUAAACUAUAAUGGUGAUAUAGGUUUUUUUUUUUUUAAUAAUCAAUUACAUGUACAUGAUGUAUACUGAUUUUUUCAAGUUAAAAGCAAAAGAUAUUGGUUUCCUCAUGGGGGUCCAAUACUUUACAAAAGGAUUAUUUUAUAUACUCACGGUGAUUAUUUCGUUGCAUUAAUGAACUCAACAUGUAACCAAUAUUAUUCUUCUUUUUUACAUUUUCUUUUAGAGACUCAAAACCAAAAAUUUUGAUUGCAAAUAGUGACUGAUGUGCCUUAUGAUGUAGAUGUUGGAUAUUGUGCUUUUCCAGAGAAAUGGCCCAAAAUGGAAAGCAUCUGCAGACAAUGACUGAUAUGUUUUUUGAUGCAGAUGUUUAAAAUGAUGCUUUUGAAGGAAAAAUAUCCAAGCUAAUUGAGGUUUCCUGAGAAAAGUGUUUGUCUCACAUGGAAAAGCCAUUGUCUAAGAUUAUACAUAUUAAGCACCAGUGUUCAGACAUAGGUUAACUUCCUAGAUAGACGAUUGAGGACCAAUAGUGUCAACGGAAAAAAAAUCUACGCCAUGAAUAUUGCUUUAAUCAAUACUGGUUUAGAAAUGAUAAUGAAACUCUGGUACAUUUUUUAUUGAUCGUGUGGUUUUCAUGUAUUCUCCCAAAAAUGAAGAUAUGAGAGAAUUAAUACACUUUUUACGUGUACAUGUACGUGUAAAUUCAGUAGCAUUGAAAGUUGGGUUAUACAAUGUACAUAUUUUGCUGUUUUAAUGUUCCUAAACGAUCAUAUUGCCUUGUUCAUAUUAAUAUUUAAAUGUUUUAGUAAUACUCAAUAAAAAGUCAGAGUCUAA
Long non-coding RNA from Magallana angulata, 2161 nucleotides. RefSeq lists it as uncharacterized. Lineage: Eukaryota; Metazoa; Mollusca; Bivalvia; Ostreida; Ostreidae. The record is from RefSeq and is a predicted model, not a curated record. The transcript is spliced from 5 exons.